Molecule: ribosomal RNA, 704 nt
Filed under: bacterium SL5.44
Lineage: Bacteria
Description: bacterial SSU rRNA
Rfam family: Bacterial small subunit ribosomal RNA
Source: RNAcentral
GCAGUCGAGCGCAGGAAGUUAUCUGAUCCUCUUUUAGAGGUGACGAUAAUGGAAUGAGCGGCGGACGGGUGAGUAACACGUAGGCAACCUGCCUGUAAGACUGGGAUAACUCGUGGAAACGCGAGCUAAUACCGGAUAACACUUUUCAUCUCCUGAUGAGAAGUUGAAAGGCGGCUUUUGCUGUCACUUACAGAUGGGCCUGCGGCGCAUUAGCUAGUUGGUAAGGUAAUGGCUUACCAAGGCGACGAUGCGUAGCCGACCUGAGAGGGUGAUCGGCCACACUGGGACUGAGACACGGCCCAGACUCCUACGGGAGGCAGCAGUAGGGAAUCUUCCGCAAUGGACGAAAGUCUGACGGAGCAACGCCGCGUGAGUGAUGAAGGUUUUCGGAUCGUAAAACUCUGUUGUUAGGGAAGAACAAGUGCCAUAGUAACUGAUGGCACCUUGACGGUACCUAACCAGAAAGCCACGGCUAACUACGUGCCAGCAGCCGCGGUAAUACGUAGGUGGCAAGCGUUGUCCGGAAUUAUUGGGCGUAAAGCGCUCGCAGGCGGUUCUUUAAGUCUGAUGUGAAAUCUUACGGCUCAACCGUAAACGUGCAUUGGAAACUGGGGAACUUGAGUGCAGAAGAGGAGAGUGGAAUUCCACGUGUAGCGGUGAAAUGCGUAGAGAUGUGGAGGAACACCAGUGGCGAAGGCGACUCU